This 207-nucleotide ribosomal RNA is filed under the name uncultured bacterium. RNAcentral's name for it is "partial 16S ribosomal RNA". It matches the Rfam family "Bacterial small subunit ribosomal RNA", at positions 1294 to 1500 of the family's 1533-position model. The record is from RNAcentral.
CGGAUCGCAGGCUGCAACCCGUCUGCGUGAAGCCGGAAUUGCUAGUAAUCGCGGAUCAGCAUGCCGCGGUGAAUACGUUCCCGGGCCUUGUACACACCGCCCGUCACACCAUGAGAGCCGGGGGGACCCGAAGUCCGUAGCCUAACCGCAAGGAGGGCGCGGCCGAAGGCAAAACUGGUGAUUGGGGUGAAGUCGUAACAAGGUAUC